CCGGAAAUGAGGAUCGACAGCACGCAUUUUCUGGAGCUCUCCGUUGUGUGGACGUUACGUGAAACAAAACAUGUCGGUCGUCUCUGCCCCUGCUGUCCUCACCGACUGCCGCUCGCACUGGACCGGUGAAGACGGGAGGGAGAGUGUUUGUUUGUGUUGGACCACAGGCGGUGGCCGGCCCCCAUGAAGCAGCUGACAACCUGCUCAAUAAACACCGUGGGAUGAAGGACGAUGCUGCUCUAGUUCACAACUCCUGUACAGACCCACACAGCAUGCUGCACCCAACAACAAAACAUAUCGUAUAUAUGUAGAUGUUUAUAUAUUUUCUAUUUUUUUAUAAUAGUUAUAUUGGUUUUAGAUAUUUGUGUUGUUUGUGUGACCUUGCACUAUGGGCUCUGUGUUCAAUAAAUAUAAUUCAUAGAC
Long non-coding RNA from Cyclopterus lumpus (lumpfish), 423 nucleotides. RefSeq lists it as uncharacterized. The record is from RefSeq and is a predicted model, not a curated record. Lineage: Eukaryota; Metazoa; Chordata; Actinopteri; Perciformes; Cyclopteridae. The transcript is spliced from 2 exons.